Oryctolagus cuniculus (rabbit) is the source of this 8794-nucleotide non-coding RNA. The record is from RefSeq and is a predicted model, not a curated record. Lineage: Eukaryota; Metazoa; Chordata; Mammalia; Lagomorpha; Leporidae.
UGGCCGCCACGGCCCUCGCGCUGCGGCCAGCGCACCGCGCUGAUCCGAAGCAAGGAGCCAGGUGCUUCUCCUGGUCUCCCAUGGGGUGCAGGGCCCAAGCACUUGGGCCAUCCUCCACUGCACUCCUGGGCCACAGCAGAGAGCUGGCCUGGAAGAGGGGCAACCGGGACAGAAUCCGGCACCCCGAUGGGACUAGAACCUGGUGUGCUGGCGCCACUAGGCGGAGGAUUAGCCAAUUGAGCCACAGCGCCGGCCCCCAGAGCCACUUUCAAUCUCUCCCUUUUUGUGACUCAAACUGCACAGCCUUUCCAGGGCUGGCCUGCAGAUGGAGACCACUUCCUUAAAGGCCUCGGUCUUCCCACUGCCCUUGAGGAAAGUUGCCUACAUAGCCAAGGCGGGAACAGCGGAUGCUUCUAGGGCCUAACCCAGAGCUGUCAGAGGAGUGAUGUGGGCUCUCCCUUCUGGAAAGAUCUAGACUGUGACUGCUAUGAUGAGUGGUCCAGUUGGGAGAAAAUUGAAAUUUGUUAUUGUUUGAACUGCUGAUUAUGUGGAUUAUUUUUAUUUUUUAAUUUUUGACACACCGAUCUUUCUAAACCUAGAGAGAGAGUUCUCCCUCCUCUAUCUCAGAGACUGGCAAUGUCAGCUGUGCCCUUACGCUGAUUCCGGGACAGCGGUGCAGACAGUGGCUCCAGCUCUGGCCACCCUGCUCCUGUCACUGAAUCGCUCCCAACCAGAAGAUCCCCAUCACUACUCCCUUGUAGGCCAGAAGCGGAUGCCAGUGCAGGGCAUGUGCCCCUGACCGUUAACAACGGGGCUGGUUUUUCCCUCCAGAAUGAGAUGUUGGAGAAGACAUGCACACAUCAUGAAACAGACAAACUGCAUUAGGGCUCUCCUGGGAAGCCACCACUCUGAACCCCUGUGUGUGCUGGAGAGGAGGAGGGAGGGCCUGCCGUGGCUGCAACCACAGGAUGGGGCUGUGGGGGACAGAUGAGGAGCUGGUUUCCUCUGGCAGUGUGGCUGUUAGACCAGUGCGUGUGUGCAGAAAAGAUCCAGCUCUCACUCUUUGUCUAUAAAUAGCGAUACUUUCUUCAGCUGGAAAAAAAGAAAUCUGUGUGUCUUAUUGCACCUAUAGCCUUGCCUUUCAGCAGAAAGGGCAAAAGGUUGAACCACAUGCUCUCUCAUGAGUCCAGACCAGGAGAACUAGAAGUUGUUUACCAUUUCCAUUCAUAUUUUUGUACUUUUAUUCUAUGUGUUCAUAUCCAGAUUCAAUACCAUAUUAUUGUGUGCAUGUGUGUUUAAGAUUUAUUUGUUAAUUUGAAAGAGUUAUAUAUAGAGAAGGAGAGACAGGGAGAAAGAUCGUCCGUCUGCUAGUUCACCCCCCAGAUGACCACAACAGCCAGGGCUGAGCCACGGUAAAGCCAGGAGCCAAGAGUUUCUUCCAGAUCUCUCACAUGGGUGGCAGGGGCCCAAAUACUUGGGCCAUCUUCUGCUGCUUUUCCCAAGCCAUUAGCAGGGAGCUGGAUCAGAAGUGGAGCAGCUGGUACAUGAACUGGUGCCAUAUGGAAUGCCUGCAUUGCAGGUGGCAGCUUUACCCACCACACUAAAACGCCAACCCCACAUGUAUGUUAUCUACCUGAAUGGUAUUGUACUAUUCCUAACCUCUUAAAACAUUUUUUGUACUCAACAUUGUUUUGAUUAUAUGUGUAUAUAUAUAUGUAUACAUAUAUAUACAUAUAUAUGUAUAUAUAUGUACAGAUGCAGUUCAUACAUUUUAAUUUCUUUUUCAAUUUGUAUUUAUUUAUUGUUCAUUUUGUUUGAAAGGCAGAGAGAUAGAGAGACAGAGAUCUCCCAUCCACUAGUUUAUCCCCAGAUGCUUACACCAGGGCUGGGCCAGCCAAAGCCAGGAGCCUGGAACUCAAUCCAGUCUCAAGUGGGUAGCAGGGACCUAGGGACUUGAACCAUCGCCUAUUGCUUCUGUCAGAAGAGGAGCUGGAACUUGAACUAGGCACUCCAAUAUGGAUACAGCUGUCCCCAGCAGGGACUCAACUGCUGGACCAAACACCCAACCUCGUUUUAACUUCUACACGGCAUCAUAUCGUAAAGCUGUCUACAGUUUGUUUAUCCACUCUAUUAGCUUUUCGUCACUGUGAUAAAAUACUCAAGAUGAGCUACUCAGUGGAGGAGUUUAUUGUGGCUCACAGUCCGAGAUAAGGCAGGCCUGGUGUGACCAUCUGGGAGCCCAGAGGGUAGCACUGGAGGGGUGUGGGCAAGAGCAGUCACAUGAGAAACCAGAAAGCAGAGACGUGAGACCCAACUCAGCUUUUAUAACCAACCCAACCCUCUAGAGAGAACUACCUCCAGAGAGCAUACCCCAGUGACCUACGGGCCUCUCACUAGUCUCACCCCCAAAACAUCAUAAUUGGAUAAAAUUCCACUCUUAGUACCAUUAACUUAUCACUUUGAGGAUUAAAUGUCUGCAUGAGUUCCGAAGUCAUACCCUGGUCAAACCAUGACAUCUACUCUACAACUGAUGAGUGUUAGGUCGACCUAUUUCCACUUCUUGGAACAUUUUUUAAUAAUUACUUUAACAUAAAUAAACAUUUUAAAUGAGCCAGUGCUGUGGUGUAAUAAGGUAAGCAUCUGCCUGUGGCACCAGCAUCCCAUAUAGGUGCCAGUUCCCCAUAUGGGCACCAGUUCGAGUCCUGGCUGCUCCACUUGGGAACCAGCUCCCUGCUCAUGGCCUGAGAAAGCAGUGGAAGAUGGCCCAAGUGUUUGGGAGACCUGGAAGAAGCUCCUGGCUUUCGAUGGGCCCAGCUCCAGCUGUUGCAGCCAUCUGGGGAGUAAACCAGCAGGUGAAAGACCUCUCUCUCUGUCUCUCCCUCUCUCUGUAACUCUUCCUCUCAAAUAAAUAAUGGCUGGGUCUGGGCCAGGCCAAAGCCAGGAGCUCAGAACUCCCUCCUGGUACUUGGGCCAUCUUCUGCUGCCCUCCUAUGUGUAUCAGCAGGGAGCUGGAUCAGAAGUGGGGCAGCUCAGACUCAACCGCUCUCUGAUAUGGGAUGCUGACGUUGCAAGCAGAGGCUUAACCCCUGCACCCCCAUAUCAGCCCUUCAGAUUUUUUACAGACUCUCAAAAAAUCAGACUCUUCAUGAAAAAAUUACUUGACUUACAUUCAAGUAAAAUACAUUUUUUGGUAUAUUUCUUUUUUCUGUGAGAAAGCAGUAGAAACAUUUCUGGUCGUUUGCCUUUUAAAAAUAAGGACAGGAAACAACACAUUUAGAGUAAACAUCUCACAAUCAAAAUGUAGACUUUGGUUGAUCCCAUGACUGGAAAGGAAGCCCUUAGGACUUUCGGUUUCUAAGUUCACAUUUCCCAAAUGUUCUAGUUUGUUUUGACAGGCCUGCAUGGCUUUGAUAUCUAAAAUCAAAGUCACUUUGAUUUUUGCUAUUUAUCUCCUUCUGGAUUUUUGGCCUCGGUUUUCUGCUGUUGCGCAAAUAGAGCAAGAUUUUAAUUCACUGUAACACAAACCCCUGUUUGGUGGGAUUUUUUCUUCCACUCUAAGGCAAAGGGUCAAACUUGCCCUCCCCCAGAUUUAAGGCGAGGUUGGCACCCAACCCAUUUAUAUCAACAUGAUCAGUUCCCUUCCCUCCAGCAGUUGUGUCCUGUCUAAUGGCCUCUACCAGCCUCAGUGUCCCAGCUGGAUGUGAGGAGCUGACUUUUGUUCAGGAAAGGGUAUUUUACGAGAGAGUGAGUUCAAUAUUCUAAGAACAAUUUGAGGCCGGCGCCACGGCUCACUAGGCUAAUCCUCCGCCUUGCGGCGCCGGCACACCGGGUUCUAGUCCCGGUCGGGGCGCCGGAUUCAGUCCCGGUUGCCCCUCUUCCAGGCCAGCUCUCUGCUGUGGCCAGGGAGUGCAGUGGAGGAUGGCCCAAGUGCUUGGGCCCUGCACCCCAUGGGAGACCAGGAGAAGCACCUGGCUCCUUGCUUAGGAUCAGCGUGGUGCGCUGGCCGCAGCACGCUGGCCGCGGCGGCCAUUGGAGGGUGAACCAACGGCAAAAAGGAAGACCUUUCUCUCUGUCUCUCUCUCUCACUGUCCACUCUGCCUGUCCAAAAAAAAAAGAAAGAAAGAAAGAUUGAUGCCGGAGAGAACCUGGCUCACAACAAAAUGCUUGCAGAGGGCACAGUGAGUGGAGAAGAGAACCAGAAAGUCCAGGAGGGUUGCACUGGCGGUGGGGAGGCUCAGGGAAGACCUAUAAGGAAAUAUUUUCCUAGGCAGCAUGCGUGAAUGAUUUUUCAUGUUAUCUUGUUGGAGAGGCAAGCAGCCAUUUUGAUCUCUGUUGAUGCUCAGAGUUCGGCUGUGGUCUGCAUUCUUCACCUGUGCCUGUGCUACCUCCUCAAGGCGCUCUACUGUCUCUUCACACGCAUCCUGCAUCCCGUGUGUGGACAGCACAGCCUGACCUCACUCCUUCUCCGUCCGGGUCUCAGUGUUUGCCCAUCCCUAGGCUGUGCCCACACUCCUGCGAUGUGGCAUUGCGCCUCCUCCCUCCUCCAGAGCAAGCUCCCGUGUUCCCUUUCUGUCUGGGACACCUUCCAGUGUAGAAGUGGAGGAGAGGUAAAGGGAACAAACGCGUUCUAAACCCCUUGGGCUGUCCAAGAUGUGUGCAUCAUCUCAAAGGAAAUGUCUAAAUAACUGCUGGAAUGAUGCGCACCUGCCAAGGUGCUAGGGGGAGGGUUUGAAUGAAGUUAGUAAAAAAAAAAAAAGUAAUAAGCGAAAAAAGGCAAAAACAGUGGUGCAAAUAGAAAACAUAGUAAGACAAGCUUAAAUCUUUUUUUUAAAAAAAGAUUUUAUUUAUUUAAUUGAGAGGUAGAAUUACAGACAGUAAGAGGGAGACAGAAAGAGAGGUCUUCCAUCCACUGGUUCACUCCUCUCCUCAAAUGACCACAAUGGCUGGAGCUGAGCCAAUCUGAAGUCAGGAGCCAGGAGCUUCCUCCAGGUCUCCCACAUGUAUGCAGGGGCCCAAGCGCUUGGGCCAUCUUCUACUGCCCUCCCAGGCCAUAGCAGAGAGCUGGAUUGGAAGAAGAGGGGCCAGGACUAGAACUGAUGUCCAAGAAAUCUUAUGUUAUCAGUAAUUAUAUUGAAUGUAAAGAGACUAAAUGUUUCAAUAAAGGUAAUCCAAAUUACUUAAAGACCAAAAAAAAAAAAAAGCUAAAACUAAAUAUAUGCUCUUUGUAGCAGACAUUUUAAGUAUGUGAAAGGAGAGGCUGUAGCGUUGAAAGAUCAGGGGCAGCAGUGUGGCCUAUUGCACUGCCAGCAGAAUGCUAGCACAGGUCACACAUGCUCCACUUUCUACCUGGCUUCCAGGUGUGGGAAGCCCGUGGGUGACCACUCAGGUACUUGGGCCCCUGCCGCCCAUGUAGGAAACUUGUACUGAGUUCCCAGCUCCCCAGCCCUGGCCAGCCCCAGCCAUUGUGACCGUCAGGGGAGUGAACCAGUAGACAGAGCUUUCUCUGUCUCUCCCUCUCUCCAUCACCCUGCCUUUCAAGUAAAUAAAUAAAUACACAUACAUAAACUGAAUAGUAAGCCAUAUCACACAAGCACUAAGAAAAUUAAGCUGGUGUAGCUUUAUUAAUGUUAGAUGUGGGGGUAGGUGUUUGGCGAGUAGUUAAUUUGCCACUUGGGACACCAAAUCCCAUAAUCGGGGUGCCUGGGUUCCAGUCCCAGCUCCACUCCCCAUUCCAGCCUCCUGUUAAUGUGUACCUUGUGAAGCAGCAGCUGAUGGCUCAAGUUUUGAUCUCCGCCUCCCAUGUAGGAACCUGUAUUGAGUUCCCAACUCCCAGUGUGAGCCCCACCCCAACCCUGGCCACUACGACCACUGGGGAGUAAGCCAGCAGAUGGCAGUUCUCUGUGUAUGUCUCUCUGCACCUCUCAAAUAAUAAAUAAAGAUAAAAACAGUAACUGAGGAGAAAUAAAUAAAUUCACAAUCAUAGUGGGAGAUUUAUAAAAAAAGACUUCUUUCAGUAAUUUGGAGAAAAGACUCAGAGAAAAAUCAGUAGGAAAUAAAGAUUUAAAGUGUACAGUUUCCAAAAAUUACCCUAAUAUAUAGAGAGCACUACCCCUAACACACACUGCCAAUCGCAUACACAGCAAUUACAAACAUUCACCAUAUGCUGAGCCUAAAGCUGGUCUCAAGAAUUACGUUCUUGGGGGCUGACACUGUGGUAUAGUGGUGGAGCCACCACCUGCAGUGCUGGCAUCCUAUAUGGGCACCGGUUCAAGACCUGGCUGCUCCGCUUCCAAGCCAGCUCUCCGCUGGGGCUUGGGAAAUCAAUAGAAGAUGGCCCAAGUGCUUGGGCCCCUGCACCCGUGUGGGAGACCCGAGAGAGGCUCCUGGCCUCCUGACUUCAGAUCAGCCCAGCUCUGCCUGUUGUAGUCAUUUAGGGAGUGAACCAGUAGAUGGAAGAUCUCUCUCUCUCUCUCUCUCUCUCUCUUCCCCACCCCACCUCUCUGUAACUCUGCCUUUCAAAUAAAUAAAUAAAUCUUCUAAAAAAAUUACGUUUUCUGACAAGUAUGCCACCAUGCUAGUAAGUAGUAACAAAAAUAUAACCUGAAAGUACUUUCUUUGUGGAAGUUAAGACACAUAACUCUCAGUAACUGACUGACAAAGAAGGAAUCAAAAGGGAGUUUAAAAAAUAUUUGGCUCUGGGGCUGGCAUUGUGGCACUGCCAGUUAAGCCGCAACCUGUGACACCAUCGUCCCAUAUGCGCACUGGGUGGAGUCCGGGUUGCUGCACUUCCGAUCCAGCAGCAGAUGAUGGCCCCUGUACUUGGGCCCCUGCACCCAUGUGGGAGUCCCAGGCUCCGAGCUUUGGCCUGGCCCUGAUCAGGCUGUUGUGGCCAUUUGGGGAGUAAACCAAGAUCUCUGUUUCUCCCUCUCUCUGUGACUCUGGCUUUCAAACAAAUAUUUGAAAAGAAGAGACUAUAUGGCACUGAAUGGUAAUGAAAACAGAUGGAGAAGUUGUGAGGUGCAGGUUCCGCCCUAGGGCGUGGGGGCGGGGAGUGUGCUCCACAUCUUCGCUGGCACUGAGUGACGCUGGCAAGACCACGUGGAACAGAGCUGCAAGGGCUCCAAAGAGGCCACGGUGGCAGGUGGGUGUGGAAGCCGUCCAGAAUCCAAAGUUCCAAACCGGUGGUGAAUUUAACAUUUUUCCCUCUGGAAUCUAUUGGCCUGAAUGCAAAGCAACCCACAAACCUGGAAGUGGGAAACUGCACAGACAGAACUCCAAGAGGCGCCCCUCAGGGCUCAAGACUGUUCCAGGUCCCAGAUGUGAGCAUGAGAAGCGAAUGGCAGAGUCUGUCAGUAAAGCCCUGUGUUGUUGCCCAGAGAAUCAGAAAGCACCAGGAUGGAGAGGAGGGGUUCCAGAGCAGCCCCAUCAAGUUUUAUGGGCUCCUGGGAUGGCCCUCCAGUUGAAUAUGCCUGGAGCUAACCUAAGCCGCAUGCCCUGGGGGAUGAAGGGCGUCACUCACUCACCAUGCAGGUCCCCGACCCGCCACUAGGAGGCACGCGUCUGCCGCAGGUCCCAAGAGCACUGCAGAGGCUCUGAAGGGAACUGGUCCAGAGAACACAACCCAAGGUGGUCACAGCCGAACAGGCUGAUUGUCUACUAGCAAAGCGUCUCAAUGUCCAGGAUAUAACCCCCAAGUACUUGGCAUAUGAAGGACCAGGAGAUCCCCAUUUACACAGGAAAAAAGAAUCUACAGACGCCAGUGCUGAGAGGCCACUGUUAAAGAAAUGCCGAAAGUGUGAGUACUCUUGGAAUGAAUGAAAAUCUCAAUGAGGAAACAGAAAACAAAGACGAACCAAAUGGGAAUUUUAAAAUUGAAAAACAUAGCAACCGGGGCCAGCGCCGUGGUGUAGUAGGUUAAUCCUCCGCCUGCGGCGCUGGCAUCCCAUAUGGGCGCCGGUUCUGGUCCCGACUACCCCUCUUCCAAUCCAGCUCUCUUCUGUGGCCUGGGAAAGCAGUAGAAGAUGGCCCAAGUCCUUGGGUCCCUGCACCCAUGUGGGAGACUGGGAAGAAGCUCCUGGCUCCUGGCUUCGGAUCGGCACAGCUCCAGCUGUUGUGUCCAUUUGGGGAGUAAACCAACAGAAGGAAGACUUUUCUCUCUGUCUCUCCCUCUCACUGUCUGUAACUCUACCUCUCAUUUAAAAAAUAACAUCUUUAAGGCCAGUGCUGCAGCUCACUAGGCUAAUCCUCCGCCUUGCGGCGCUGGCACACUGGGUUUUAGUCCUGGUCGGGGCACCGGAUCCUGUCCCGGUUGCCCCUCUUCCAGGCCAGCUCUCUGCUGUGUCCAGAGAAGGCAGUGGAGGAUGGCCCAAGUGCUUGGGCCCUGCACCCCAUGGGAGACCAGGAUAAGAACCUGGCUCCUGCCUUCGGAUCAGCGCGAUGCGCCGGCCCCAGCACGCUGGCCGCAGCGGCCAUUGGAGGGUGAACCGACGGCAAAGGAAGACCUUUCUCUCUGUCUCUCUCACUGUCCACUCUGCCUGUCAAAAAAGUAAAAAAAAAAAAAAAAAAAAAAAUCUUUAAAAAAAUAAAAUUUAAUUUUAAAAACGAAAAACAUAGCAACCAAAAUAUGUCAUGGAUUUACUAAUAAAUUACUCCUGUAGCCACUGCAACAAAUGAGAAGAAAUUCAGUGACUUAAAUAAAUUCUGUUAUGGUUCUGAGGGUCAGAAUAAUUUAUUUUUAUUUGAUUUGAAAGGGAGAGAGAGAGAGAGAGAGAGAGAGAGAGAGAGAUUAAGAUAU